GGUGGCUCAGUGGUAGAGUGCUUGCCUUGCAUGCAAGAGGCCCCGGGUUCGAUUCCUCAGCACCA
This 65-nucleotide transfer RNA is filed under the name Dipodomys ordii (Ord's kangaroo rat). It matches the Rfam family "tRNA". Rfam says of the family: Transfer RNA (tRNA) molecules are approximately 80 nucleotides in length. Their secondary structure includes four short double-helical elements and three loops (D, anti-codon, and T loops). Further hydrogen bonds mediate the characteristic L-shaped molecular structure. tRNAs have two regions of fundamental functional importance: the anti-codon, which is responsible for specific mRNA codon recognition, and the 3' end, to which the tRNAs corresponding amino acid is attached (by aminoacyl-tRNA synthetases). tRNAs cope with the degeneracy of the genetic code in two manners: having more than one tRNA (with a specific anti-codon) for a particular amino acid; and 'wobble' base-pairing, i.e. permitting non-standard base-pairing at the 3rd anti-codon position. Lineage: Eukaryota; Metazoa; Chordata; Mammalia; Rodentia; Heteromyidae. The record is from Rfam by way of RNAcentral.